RNAcentral lists this ribosomal RNA (1000 nucleotides) under Pedobacter suwonensis. RNAcentral's name for it is "bacterial SSU rRNA". It matches the Rfam family "Bacterial small subunit ribosomal RNA", at positions 383 to 1384 of the family's 1533-position model. The record is from RNAcentral. Lineage: Bacteria; Pseudomonadati; Bacteroidota; Sphingobacteriia; Sphingobacteriales; Sphingobacteriaceae.
UGAACCCAGCCAUGCCGCGUGCAGGAAGACUGCCCUAUGGGUUGUAAACUGCUUUUAUCCGGGAAUAAACCUCUGCUCGUGAGCAGAGCUGAAUGUACCGGAAGAAUAAGGAUCGGCUAACUCCGUGCCAGCAGCCGCGGUAAUACGGAGGAUCCAAGCGUUAUCCGGAUUUAUUGGGUUUAAAGGGUGCGUAGGCGGCCUGUUAAGUCAGGGGUGAAAGACGGUAGCUCAACUAUCGCAGUGCCCUUGAUACUGAUGGGCUUGAAUGGACUAGAGGUAGGCGGAAUGAGACAAGUAGCGGUGAAAUGCAUAGAUAUGUCUCAGAACACCGAUUGCGAAGGCAGCUUACUAUGGUCUUAUUGACGCUGAGGCACGAAAGCGUGGGGAUCAAACAGGAUUAGAUACCCUGGUAGUCCACGCCCUAAACGAUGAACACUCGCUGUUGGCGAUACACAGUCAGCGGCUAAGCGAAAGCGUUAAGUGUUCCACCUGGGGAGUACGCCCGCAAGGGUGAAACUCAAAGGAAUUGACGGGGGCCCGCACAAGCGGAGGAGCAUGUGGUUUAAUUCGAUGAUACGCGAGGAACCUUACCCGGGCUUGAAAGUUAGUGAAUGAUCCAGAGAUGGAUCAGUGAGCAAUCACACGAAACUAGGUGCUGCAUGGCUGUCGUCAGCUCGUGCCGUGAGGUGUUGGGUUAAGUCCCGCAACGAGCGCAACCCCUAUGUUUAGUUGCCAGCACGUUAUGGUGGGGACUCUAAACAGACUGCCUGUGCAAACAGAGAGGAAGGAGGGGACGACGUCAAGUCAUCAUGGCCCUUACGUCCGGGGCUACACACGUGCUACAAUGGACGGUACAGAGGGCAGCUACAUAGCAAUAUGAUGCGAAUCUCACAAAGCCGUUCACAGUUCGGAUUGGGGUCUGCAACUCGACCCCAUGAAGUUGGAUUCGCUAGUAAUCGCGUAUCAGCAAUGACGCGGUGAAUACGUUCCCGGGCCUUGU